GACGAACGCUGGCGGCGUGCUUAACACAUGCAAGUCGAACGGAAAGGCCCUGCAUCUGUGGGGUGCUCGAGUGGCGAACGUGUGAGUAACACGUGAGUAACCUGCCCUUGAUUUUGGGAUAACUUCAGGAAACUGGGGCUAAUACCGGAUAGGAGCUCCUGCUGCUUGGUGGGGGUUGGAAAGUUUCGGUGGAUGGGGAAGGAAUCGCGGCUUAUCAGCUUGGUGGUGUGGUAGUGGCUUGCCAAAGCGUUGACGGGUAGCCGGCCUGAGAUGGUGGCCGGACCCAUUAGAAUUGAGAUACGACACAGACUACACCCGGAGGCAAGAGUGGAGAGUAUAACACUGUAGGAUGAAGCCAGAUGCGAUGAAGCGGCGCGGGGUAAGACGGGCUGCAGGUUGUAAACUGCUGUCGCCUGUGACGAAGCGUGAGUGACGGUACUGGAUGAAGAAGCACCGGCUAACUACGUG
RNAcentral lists this ribosomal RNA (468 nucleotides) under uncultured bacterium. RNAcentral's name for it is "partial 16S ribosomal RNA". It matches the Rfam family "Bacterial small subunit ribosomal RNA", at positions 28 to 507 of the family's 1533-position model. The record is from RNAcentral.